RNAcentral lists this ribosomal RNA (362 nucleotides) under uncultured fungus. RNAcentral's name for it is "eukaryotic LSU rRNA". It matches the Rfam family "Eukaryotic large subunit ribosomal RNA", at positions 40 to 398 of the family's 3401-position model. Lineage: Eukaryota; Fungi. The record is from RNAcentral.
AUAUCAAUAAGCGGAGGAAAAGAAACCAACAGGGAUUACCUCAGUAACGGCGAGUGAAGCGGUAACAGCUCAAAUUUGAAAGCUAGCUCUUUUAGGGUUCGCAUUGUAAUUUGUAGAAGAUGCUUCGGGUGUGGCCCCGGUCUAAGUUCCUUGGAACAGGACGUCAUAGAGGGUGAGAAUCCCGUAUGUGACUGGGUGCUUUCGCUCAUGUGAAGCUCUUUCGACGAGUCGAGUUGUUUGGGAAUGCAGCUCAAAAUGGGUGGUAAAUUUCAUCUAAAGCUAAAUAUUGGCCAGAGACCGAUAGCGCACAAGUAGAGUGAUCGAAAGAUGAAAAGCACUUUGGAAAGAGAGUUAAACAGUAC